CCUACGGGUGGCAGCAGUGAGGAAUAUUGGUCAAUGGACGAGAGUCUGAACCAGCCAAGUAGCGUGAAGGAUGAUUGCCCUAUGGGUUGUAAACUUCUUUUAUAUGGGAAUAAAAUGUUCAACGGGUGGGAUUUUGUAUGUACCAUAUGAAUAAGGAUCGGCUAACUCCUGGCCAGCAGCCGCGGUAAUACGGAGGAUCCGAGCGUUAUCCGGAUUUAUUGGGUUUAAGGGGAGCGUAGGUGGAUUGUUAAGUCAGUUGUGAAAGUUUGCGGCUCAAGCGUAAAAUUGCAGUUGAUACUGGCAGUCGUGAGUACAGUAGAGGUGGGAGGAAUGCGUGGUGUAGCGGUGAAAUGCUUAGAUAUCACGAAGAACUCCGAUUGCGAAGGCAGUUCACUGGACUGCAACUGACACUGAGGCUCGAAAGUGUGGGUAUCAAACAGGAUUAGAUACCCUUGUAGUC
This 460-nucleotide ribosomal RNA is filed under the name uncultured bacterium. Its description in RNAcentral is "partial 16S ribosomal RNA". It matches the Rfam family "Bacterial small subunit ribosomal RNA", at positions 338 to 795 of the family's 1533-position model. The record is from RNAcentral.